UUAGAAUUACCAACUCAACAAGUUGAUUGUGAGUGACCAACUGAAAGAAAGGUGACAUAGGAAUGCAAUUUUCUUGGGUGGGUGAAUGGUUCCCACCCAGAUAUUGUCCCCACCUACCUGCUGAUGGUGGGCCAUGCUUGAUGUAAUACAUGGCAGUUAGAUAGAGGCAUCACUGGAUCUCUCUGAUCUAGCUCUUCCAUAAAUAGAGAACUUGACUAUGGAGAAUUCAUAUUCUGAAGGGUCUUUCUUACCCUAAUGAAAAGGAAAAUCAAAGAGCAAAACUACUACGAAGUUGACAAAAAAAAAAAAAAA
RNAcentral lists this long non-coding RNA (312 nucleotides) under Jatropha curcas. Its description in RNAcentral is "long non-coding RNA (JCUR_LNC003538)". Lineage: Eukaryota; Viridiplantae; Streptophyta; Magnoliopsida; Malpighiales; Euphorbiaceae. The record is from RNAcentral.